GCGGGUAUGGUUCAGUGGUAGAACGCCAGCUUCCCAAGCUGGAGAUGAGGGUUCGAUUCCCUCUACCCGCA
RNAcentral lists this transfer RNA (71 nucleotides) under Sedimentisphaera salicampi. RNAcentral's name for it is "tRNA-Gly". It matches the Rfam family "tRNA". Rfam says of the family: Transfer RNA (tRNA) molecules are approximately 80 nucleotides in length. The record is from RNAcentral. Lineage: Bacteria; Pseudomonadati; Planctomycetota; Phycisphaerae; Sedimentisphaerales; Sedimentisphaeraceae.